CAGAGGUCUCAAGCGUUGAUCGGAAUUAUUGGGCUUAAAGGGUGCGUAGGCGGCGCUGUAAGUGCCCUGUGAAAUCCCAUGGCUCAACCAUGGAAUUGCUCGGUAGACUGCAGCGCUUGAGGUUGGUAGAGGUCGCUGGAACUCUAGGUGGAGCGGUGAAAUGCGUAGAUAUCUAGAGGAACGCCAAAGGUGAAGACAAGCGACUGGGCCAAUUCUGACGCUGAGGCACGAAAGCGUGGGUAGCGAACGGGAUUAGAUACCCCGGUAGUCCACGCCCUAAACGAUGUGCACUAGGUCGUGGAGGCUCUGACGCCCCCAUGGUCGAAGUUAAAAUGCUAAGUGCACCGCCUGGGGAGUACGGUCGCAAGGCUA
Molecule: ribosomal RNA, 372 nt
Filed under: uncultured organism
Description: bacterial SSU rRNA
Rfam family: Bacterial small subunit ribosomal RNA
Source: RNAcentral